GUUUAAACUUGAUUGUUCUAAUUUGGUUGAACUUGCUAAUAUGUCUACAGUUUUUUUGCGAAUAAAUAAAUAAUACAUUAAUAUAUAAUUAAUCGAUUUGUAGAACAGACUGGCAUUGUUGUGUGUGUUUUUUUUAAUUGAACUUGUGAUUCGCACUGUGUUGUUUUUCAGUGGAUGAUUUCAUUGGAUGACGCCAUUCCCUCUCAACAACAACGCGUCCUGUAAACAAAAAACAGUCUACUACUAUAAAGAAGUGACUUGCUAAACCUACAAAAUUAGUCAUUCUUUGAUCUCUUCAGCAUACAAAAUGAAACUGAUGGCAUGUGAGACCCACUGAAAUGCAGCUAUUGGUUAUGGAUUACUAUGCUGUUUGGAUAAAGAAAACAGAGGACUUCUGAAAAUGAACACCAGCUUGGUCAGUGGAUAUAUCUGUUGUUUCCUGGUGGGCGGGGCUUAGCUGGAGGCAAAAAGAGGUGCUGGACGCAAUGUUGACAAGCGUAAGCUAGCAUGUUUUAGGAGGGAUUUAUUAAACAUGGAUGCAGAAGAAGGUUCGGAACUGUCCGAAUAUGUACAGUCACUGACUCUGCGGGACUGUGACAGCUAUUUUUGUAAAUUAACUCUCGCGGAUGGAAGCAGGCUGCCUGACCCAUAUGCCAUACGGCCACGGGAGUGGCAUGAAGACUUGACGGGGCUGCCGAGGGUGGAGUGGCCGGACAUCUACACUUGUGUUUACAGCCGGGAAAAGCUACAGGCGUAUAAAUCCCUGGAUGCCUACAACUAUGUUAUUAAUGGUCACGUUCAGACAUUACAAUACAACAAUUUACGUACAAAUGUUUGUGUGGUGCUGUCAGAGGUGUUGCCUAGCCAGAGGCAAGGCAAGAAGGGUGACAUGUACCACACCUGGGUGAUCGUAAAUCGGGACAACAGUACAAUUUUAACGGCGAACUGCACUUGCAUGUCAGUUUUAACCUAACAGUAAAUAGACAACAAUUUAUAGUUUGCUGCAACCACUGUUAUAAAUCCUAAUUAAUAUGUUUUGAAGUCAUGAAUGUAUUACUCUUGAGGGAAAGAUUUCAUUGAAAACUUUAGUUUUGAACCAAAAGUGCUGUUCCUUCUAUUCUGGCAGCCAAAAACACAACAAGACGACAUUUUAAAGUCAAAACUUCAAACUUUUAGCACGCCUGCUAUGAGUUCUUCCUUAUGUUUUGCCUCCAGCUAGAGCGGUGACGUCACAGUGACGUAGGCGAUUAAGGGGUCUAUAGAGUGCUGCAGGUAUGACAUCACUUUGUAGGCCAAAAUGCGGAAGUGAGUUAGCAUUUUAGCACUUCCGGUUCCAUGGAAGUGCUUGGUUAAAUGACUGAAAUAAGAUCUGUGGUGAGCGCAAGCUCAAGACAGUUUCACGUUUUAUUCUACGACGUAAAAUGCAUCAGUAUUACGCCACUUGUGAUUUUUUUGAAAAAGGCGGUUGCUAGCAAGUGGCUAAAUGGGACUACAUAGGCAGUCGAGGACAUUAAACGUCAUCACUCUGAGAAGGUAAGCUCAGUCUGCUUUUAUAACCUCAUUAUGCUCAUAAUUGUACUUUUAUAAACUAUUCUAACUCAAACGUGCUGGGAAAAUGUUUUUAGAUAAAAACCGAAAGAGUUGUCAGAAGCUUAGUGAUGGUGACGUUGAAGUCGAGCGACCGUGAUGUAGUUCGUUAUAGCCUACCUUUAGCUUUUUACUUCUGGUAAUUGCAUUUAGGCUUCAGACUUCAUAAAAGUUAUGUUCAUCUGUGAAAAUUAUCUUGAUGGACAAAACGUGUAAGUAUCACAACCCUUUGUUAAACACAGAGCUUAUUUUUUGCGAUUUUCCAAAAGUCUAUAGGAAAAAUGCAUAGGCUUUUGAUCGAGGGAACCCGAUCAAAGC
This is a long non-coding RNA of Megalobrama amblycephala (Wuchang bream), 1905 nucleotides long. RefSeq lists it as uncharacterized. The transcript is spliced from 3 exons. The record is from RefSeq and is a predicted model, not a curated record. NCBI's taxonomy places the organism in Eukaryota, Metazoa, Chordata, Actinopteri, Cypriniformes, Xenocyprididae.